This is a long non-coding RNA of Alosa alosa (allis shad), 1359 nucleotides long. RefSeq lists it as uncharacterized. The transcript has 4 exons. Lineage: Eukaryota; Metazoa; Chordata; Actinopteri; Clupeiformes; Clupeidae. The record is from RefSeq and is a predicted model, not a curated record.
UAUUGUAAUUUGAGCCUUGUUAAACAUCCGCGAUAUAUUUAGUAGUUUGUUUGAGAUUUGUGGACUGUUUGGAAGGUGACUGCUAUAAAGUUCUCGGACAUAUUUUUUAACUCACCAAAAGUGGCGAAAGUCCAGUUCAAAUCGGAGAAAUUUGCCAUCACGUCCUUAUUGAUGUAAUUAGUUUGCGACAUAAUUGUCCACUCCUCGGCUGCCGCAGCCCAGAUGGAUGCAUAGGGAUGGAUGUUGUGGUCAGCCUUGGUAAAUUGGUACAAAAGUAUGUCUUUUUUCGUGGUCAGUUAAACUCCUGUUCUGCCUUGUUCGCUUCCACGUUUUGCAAGUAUAAGAAAACAAGGAGAUCACGUCAAUAGGCCUAGGUUCUAACAGCUGGCAGCAGUCUGCCUGCCCCCCGUGUCAUCACCAUGCCAGAUAAAGAAGAUGUUCUGAUGUGUUUUCCUUUCCACCCCAAAUCCCUAUCCCACAUCAUUUGACCAGUGGUCCUUGUGACUAAAGGAAGACAUGAAGUGGUCCCCAAAAACAUCAGAGAAGUAUGCUAAGACUCAAUGAAUGAUGCAAGCACAGGAGAGCACUUCCUAAAGUUGCUUCAUCUUCCUAUAAGGGUAUGCACAUGUGAUAUUACAUUUUACAAUGACUAUGGUAGUUACUGAGUGGCGAUGCAAAAUGAGUGCAGUUAAUAUAUGAAUGAUGCGUUGGUGUCUCUUACCAUCCUGCUUUUACCAAAUUGCUUUAUCCAGAAAGCAAUUUAGGCUAGAUCUGUCAGAAUUAAGACUAUGGUUCCAGAACAGCCUCAUCCCCUCAGCAGUCUGAUUACUCAAUACGUUCAUGACACAAGACCCUGUACUGUAACAUUGUGACUAUAACUUAUGUGAAUGUAUAUGCAACUGACUGUUGUCAUGGUUUGAUCUGUUGUACUGUUGCUGUUCAUGUAAUAUUACACAUACUGUAUUGUUGACAUACUAUCACAGUAAGGUAUUCAACUGUUGGUCCAGCUUAUCCCUGCCAAUGUAGGCAGAGCUCUGAAUGUAUGGCUCUGAAUGUAGGUUCAACUGGUUCUGCAGUUUGUCAAAAUGCUUUAAUGCUUUAACAUUGCUUCAUCUCUGUAAGGGUAUGUACUUGUGAUCUCACAAAGGCAUCAUGGUAGUUACUGAGUGGAAAAGCAACAGCCUCAUCCCUUCAGCAGUCUCUUUACUCAAUACACUCAUGACACAAGACCCUGUUGUACUGUUGCUGUUGUACAUUUAAUAUUACACAUAUUGUAUUGUUGACAUCAAGACCACCUGUGUGUGAACACUUGUACUCUUAUUUUGGUCUCUGUUUUACAUUGAAUUGAUAUCAUGCAUU